UUUAACCUACGGGGGGCAGCAGUGGGGGAUAUUGCACAAUGGGGGAAACCCUGAUGCAGCGACGCCGCGUGUGGGAAGACGGUCUUCUGGAUUGUAAACCACUGUCCCCAGGGACGAAAAUGACGGUACCUGGGGAGGAAGCUCCGGCUAACUACGUGCCAGCAGCCGCGGUAAUACGUAGGGAGCAAGUGUUGUCCGGAAUUACUGGGUGUAAAGGGAGCGUAGGCGGGGAUGCAAGUUGGGUGUCAAAACUAUCGGCCCAACCGAUAGUCGCACUCAAAACU
This 284-nucleotide ribosomal RNA is filed under the name uncultured bacterium. Its description in RNAcentral is "partial 16S ribosomal RNA". It matches the Rfam family "Bacterial small subunit ribosomal RNA", at positions 333 to 634 of the family's 1533-position model. The record is from RNAcentral.